Molecule: ribosomal RNA, 301 nt
Filed under: uncultured bacterium
Lineage: Bacteria
Description: partial 16S ribosomal RNA
Rfam family: Bacterial small subunit ribosomal RNA
Source: RNAcentral
CAGUCGCCGCGGUAAUACGUAGGUGGCAAGCGUUGUCCGGAAUUAUUGGGCGUAAAGCGCGCGCAGGCGGAUCAGUUAGUCUGUCUUAAAAGUUCGGGGCUUAACCCCGUGAUGGGAUAGAAACUGCUGAUCUAGAGUAUCGGAGAGGAAAGUGGAAUUCCUAGUGUAGCGGUGAAAUGCGUAGAUAUUAGGAAGAACACCAGUGGCGAAGGCGACUUUCUGGACGAAAACUGACGCUGAGGCGCGAAAGCCAGGGGAGCGAACGGGAUUAGAUACCCCCGUAGUCCCUGUCUCUUAUACA